This 61-nucleotide transfer RNA is filed under the name Cavia porcellus (domestic guinea pig). It matches the Rfam family "tRNA", at positions 6 to 65 of the family's 71-position model. From Rfam's summary of the family: Transfer RNA (tRNA) molecules are approximately 80 nucleotides in length. The record is from Rfam by way of RNAcentral. Lineage: Eukaryota; Metazoa; Chordata; Mammalia; Rodentia; Caviidae.
UGUAGCUCAGUGGAACAGCACCUGCCUGGCAAGCACAAAGCCCAGAGUUCAAUUCUUGGCA